UCUCUCUCCUUCCCCUUCUUCACCUACCACAUCGAGAUUGUCAACAUCCUCUCUCUCUUUUUCUCCUCUCUCUCUCUCUCUCUCAGAAGGUCGUUCUCUCUCGCUUUCUCUCUUAGUCGGAAGAUAAAAACGUGCAAAUGUAGAAAGAGAAGAAGGUAAGUCGAUGGUGGGUGAUGCCGACACUGUCUGCGGUGGUCCAAGGCGGCACCAGAGGCUGGGUCUUCUCGAAACCAUUGUUGGCAUCUCAAUGGGUCUUCCUUACAGUGUGCACGGCGACUAUAAAAGGGAAACAUAGGAGAGAUCAAGAGAGAGAGUCGCGACUGCUUAAAGGAGGGCCGUUGUCCAACCUGCUCCGUGACUUUUGAUGGCGGCAAGGGACGCAGGGUGGAGAGAUAGAAAAGAAAGUCUUCUGUCUGAGUUGAGAGAGAGAUGACAUUUUCGAUGGUUUAACCGAAAAGCAUAUCGCAAAUUUGGAACAAAAGUAGGGGUGAAAUGGAAAAAAAAAGUAUUAGACGAAAACACUGUUACAAACAGAUUCGCACUUUAUGUGUAAGUAUAGAUAUAGAUAUAUAUACGUGUGAUUAAUUAGUCACUAGUGACUACAGUAGGCCUGUACGUACUGAAAUUAAUGAACUACUCUUGCGUGCGGAUUGCAGAUACUUUAUUAUUAUUUUU
Carya illinoinensis is the source of this 675-nucleotide long non-coding RNA. RefSeq lists it as uncharacterized. Lineage: Eukaryota; Viridiplantae; Streptophyta; Magnoliopsida; Fagales; Juglandaceae. The transcript is spliced from 2 exons. The record is from RefSeq and is a predicted model, not a curated record.